This 266-nucleotide ribosomal RNA is filed under the name uncultured bacterium. RNAcentral describes it as "partial 16S ribosomal RNA". It matches the Rfam family "Bacterial small subunit ribosomal RNA", at positions 88 to 354 of the family's 1533-position model. The record is from RNAcentral.
UGGGUUAGUGGCGGACGGGUGAGUAACGCGUGGGUAACCUGCCUUACACAGGGGGAUAACACUUAGAAAUAGGUGCUAAAACCGCAUAAGCGCACAGCUUCGCAUGAAGCGGUGUGAAAAACUCCGGUGGUGUAAGAUGGACCCGCGUCUGAUUAGCUUGUUGGCGGGGUAACGGCCCACCAAGGCGACGAUCAGUAGCCGGCCUGAGAGGGCGGACGGCCACAUUGGGACUGAGAUACGGCCCAGACUCCUACGGGAGGCAGCAG